RNAcentral lists this ribosomal RNA (407 nucleotides) under uncultured bacterium. RNAcentral describes it as "partial 16S ribosomal RNA". It matches the Rfam family "Bacterial small subunit ribosomal RNA", at positions 30 to 526 of the family's 1533-position model. The record is from RNAcentral.
AUUGAACGCUGGCGGCAGGCCUAACACAUGCAAGUAGAGCGGAGCGGCGGACGGGUGAGUAAUACCUAGGAAUCUGCCUGGUAGUGGGGGAUAACGUCCAGAAACGGGCGCUAAUACAACAUACUAUCCGAUGAGCCUAGGUCGGCAUAGCUAGGUGGUGGGGAAAAGGCCUACCAAGGCGACGAUACGUAACUGGGCUGAGAGGAUGAUCAGUCACACUGGAAUGGAGACACGGUCCAGAUUCCUACGGGAGUCAGCAGUGGGGAAGAUUGGACAAUGGGCGAAAGCCUGAUCCAGCCAUGCCGCGUGUGUGAAGAAGGUCUGCGGAUUGUAAAGCACUUUAAGUUGGGAGGCGUUACCAACAGAAUAAGCACCGGCUAACUUCGUGCCAGCAGCCGCGGUAAUUC